RNAcentral lists this long non-coding RNA (312 nucleotides) under Cyanistes caeruleus (blue tit). RNAcentral describes it as "lncRNA (ENSCCEG00000017705.1)". The record is from RNAcentral. Lineage: Eukaryota; Metazoa; Chordata; Aves; Passeriformes; Paridae.
CACCUAGGGAUGCGUUUGCUAUGCAUGAGUAGUCCUGUGGACUUCAUGGGCUCUGCUUGCUGGUUGGAAAUGCAGCUUGUUUGUGCUCAGGGAUCAGCCAGUUCUCACUGCAGCAGAGCUGUUCCAGGCAGUAAGGCCACAGGGAUAGAGCUGAAGGGAAACUACUGGAAGCCAUUGGGAAAGGCCUACUACGUCAUCUUGUCCCUGGUCUGCCAUGUACUUUUUAAGGAAAGGGCCUACCUGCCAGGAGAAUGGAUAAAUUCUGUAACAUUACAGUGGUGUUCGCUUGGCAGCAUCUGCAGGAGCCACUAA